RNAcentral lists this ribosomal RNA (397 nucleotides) under uncultured Neocallimastigomycetes. Its description in RNAcentral is "eukaryotic LSU rRNA". It matches the Rfam family "Eukaryotic large subunit ribosomal RNA", at positions 127 to 521 of the family's 3401-position model. The record is from RNAcentral. Lineage: Eukaryota; Fungi; Neocallimastigomycota; Neocallimastigomycetes.
GUUCUACCUUGACGAAUUGUAGUUUAAAGAAGUGUUUUCUGUUAGAUGAGUAGCAAAAGUUCCUUGGAAUGGGACAUCAUAGAGGGUGAGAAUCCCGUAUUUGGUUAUUCAUUCUAGCUUUGUGAUACACUUUCAAAGAGUCGGAUUGUUUGGGAAUGCAGUCCAAAAUGGGUGGUAAAUUUCAUCUAAAGCUAAAUAUUGGCGAGAGACCGAUAGCGAACAAGUACCGUGAGGGAAAGAUGAAAAGAACUUUGAAAAGAGAGUUAAACAGUACGUGAAAUUGUCAAAAGGGAAGCGUUUGACACCAGUGUUGCUUUUCCGAAAAUCAAUUACGAAUGGCUUGAUUUUGUGUUGUAUUGACCUUAUCAGCUUUCUUCACUUUUUUCGAGUCUUUCUU